ACACUUACCUGGCAGGGGAGAUACCAUGAUCACAAAGUGGUUUUCCCAGGAUGAGGCUUAUCCAUUGCACUCCAGAUGUACUGACCCCUGCAAUUUCCCCAAAUGUGGGAAAUUCACCUGCAUAAUUUGUGUUAGUGGGGAACUGUAUUCUCAUUAUCUCCUUA
RNAcentral lists this small nuclear RNA (164 nucleotides) under Dasypus novemcinctus (nine-banded armadillo). RNAcentral describes it as "U1 spliceosomal RNA (ENSDNOG00000048400.1)". It matches the Rfam family "U1 spliceosomal RNA". From Rfam's summary of the family: U1 is a small nuclear RNA (snRNA) component of the spliceosome (involved in pre-mRNA splicing). Lineage: Eukaryota; Metazoa; Chordata; Mammalia; Cingulata; Dasypodidae. The record is from RNAcentral.